RNAcentral lists this long non-coding RNA (486 nucleotides) under Homo sapiens (human). RNAcentral describes it as "non-protein coding lnc-PDE7A-4:4". The record is from RNAcentral. Lineage: Eukaryota; Metazoa; Chordata; Mammalia; Primates; Hominidae.
GCUCUCUUCGGCUGCCCCAAUCCCCGGCAGCUCUCUCAGAGGCGUGGAGCUAUUUCCUAUGACAGUUCUGAUCAGACUGCAUUAUACAUUCGUAUGCUAGGAGAUGUACGUGUAAGGAGCCGAGCAGGAUUUGAAUCAGAAAGAAGAGGUUCUCACCCAUAUAUUGAUUUUCGUAUUUUCCACUCUCAAUCUGAAAUUGAAGUGUCUGUCUCUGCAAGGAAUAUCAGAAGGCUACUAAGUUUCCAGCGAUAUCUUAGAUCUUCACGCUUUUUUCGUGGUACUGCGGUUUCAAAUUCCCUAAACAUUUUAGAUGAUGAUUAUAAUGGACAAGCCAAGUGUAUGCUGGAAAAAGUUGGAAAUUGGAAUUUUGAUAUCUUUCUAUUUGAUAGACUAACAAAUGGAAAUAGUCUAGUAAGCUUAACCUUUCAUUUAUUUAGUCUUCAUGGAUUAAUUGAGUACUUCCAUUUAGAUAUGAUGAAACUUCGU